UAAUAGCUCACUGGUCGAGUCGGCCUGCGCGGAAGAUGUAACGGGGCUAAACCAUGCACCGAAGCUGCGGCAGCGACGCUUAUGCGUUGUUGGGUAGGGGAGCGUUCUGUAAGCCUGCGAAGGUGACCUGUGAGGGUUGCUGGAGGUAUCAGAAGUGCGAAUGCUGACAUAAGUAACGAUAAAGCGGGUGAAAAGCCCGCUCG
RNAcentral lists this ribosomal RNA (203 nucleotides) under Klebsiella quasipneumoniae. RNAcentral's name for it is "partial 23S ribosomal RNA". It matches the Rfam family "Bacterial large subunit ribosomal RNA", at positions 1135 to 1336 of the family's 2925-position model. The record is from RNAcentral. Lineage: Bacteria; Pseudomonadati; Pseudomonadota; Gammaproteobacteria; Enterobacterales; Enterobacteriaceae.